GGGUGGCGAGUGGCGGACGGGUGAGGAAUACAUCGGAAUCUACUUUUUCGUGGGGGAUAACGUAGGGAAACUUACGCUAAUACCGCAUACGACCUACGGGUGAAAGCAGGGGAUCUUCGGACCUUGCGCGAUUGAAUGAGCCGAUGUCGGAUUAGCUAGUUGGCGGGGUAAAGGCCCACCAAGGCGACGAUCCGUAGCUGGUCUGAGAGGAUGAUCAGCCACACUGGAACUGAGACACGGUCCAGACUCCUACGGGAGGCAGCAGUGGGGAAUAUUGGACAAUGGGCGCAAGCCUGAUCCAGCCAUACCGCGUGGGUGAAGAAGGCCUUCGGGUUGUAAAGCCCUUUUGUUGGGAAAGAAAUCCAGCCGGUUAAUACCUGGUUGGGAUGACGGUACCCAAAGAAUAAGCACCGGCUAACUUCGUGCCAGCAGCCGCGGGGUAAUACA
RNAcentral lists this ribosomal RNA (447 nucleotides) under Stenotrophomonas maltophilia. RNAcentral's name for it is "bacterial SSU rRNA". It matches the Rfam family "Bacterial small subunit ribosomal RNA", at positions 86 to 527 of the family's 1533-position model. The record is from RNAcentral. Lineage: Bacteria; Pseudomonadati; Pseudomonadota; Gammaproteobacteria; Lysobacterales; Lysobacteraceae.